ACGGAGGGUGACAGCGUUAAUCGGAAUUACUGGGCGUAAAGCGCGCGUAGGCGGCUGGAUAAGUCGGGUGUGAAAGCCCUAGGCUCAACCGGGGAACGGCACUCGAAACUGUCUGGCUGGAGUCCGAGAGAGGGUGGCGGAAUUCCGGGUGUGAGGGUGAAAUCCGCAGAUAUCCGGAGGAACACCGUUUGCGAAGGCGGCUGCCUGGAUCGGCACUGACGCUGAUUCGCGAAAGCGUGUUGAGCAAACAG
This 251-nucleotide ribosomal RNA is filed under the name uncultured prokaryote. RNAcentral describes it as "partial 16S rRNA". It matches the Rfam family "Bacterial small subunit ribosomal RNA", at positions 525 to 775 of the family's 1533-position model. The record is from RNAcentral.